RNAcentral lists this non-coding RNA (29 nucleotides) under Rattus norvegicus (Norway rat). Lineage: Eukaryota; Metazoa; Chordata; Mammalia; Rodentia; Muridae. The record is from RNAcentral.
UAUAAAAGCUUUGGGGAUUCAUGAAAAGG